GGCAGUUCUUGGGUGAUGCACCCCAGAAUCAGGCUCCCUCCUCUCUGGUUCUGGGUGCGUCACCAGAGAACUGCA
Non-coding RNA from Myotis brandtii (Brandt's bat), 75 nucleotides. The record is from Rfam. NCBI's taxonomy places the organism in Eukaryota, Metazoa, Chordata, Mammalia, Chiroptera, Vespertilionidae.